GGGACUUGUAUGAAUGGCCACACGAGGGCUUUACUGUCUCUUACUUCCAAUCCGUGAAAUUGACCUUCCCGUGAAGAGGCGGGAAUACAACAAUAAGACGAGAAGACCCUAUGGAGCUUUAAUUAAUCGACUCAAAGAGACUCCACUAACUAACCGACAGGAACAACAAACCUCUACAUGAGCCGACAAUUUAGGUUGGGGUGACCUCGGAGAACAAAACAACCUCCGAGUGAUUUAAAUCUAGACUAACCAGUCAAAAGUAUCACAUCACUUAUUGAUCCAAAAACUUGAUCAACGGAACAAGUUACCCUAGGGAUAACAGCGCAAUCCUAUUUCAGAGUCCAUAUCGACAAUAGGGUUUACGAC
Molecule: ribosomal RNA, 366 nt
Filed under: Prionailurus bengalensis (leopard cat)
Lineage: Eukaryota; Metazoa; Chordata; Mammalia; Carnivora; Felidae
Description: partial 16S ribosomal RNA
Rfam family: Bacterial large subunit ribosomal RNA
Source: RNAcentral